GAAUCAUGUUUUUCCCGGGAUGUCAAAGAUAAACUGGAGUUUCAAUCUUGCUAUCUUAACAAGAACAGAGGGAGAACAAAGAAUAAAACAAGAAAAUAAAGCUGACUAUAUUAAAAGAACAGAGUAGAAUAAUGUUCAGUGUGAUGGGCAACUUGAACAAUUAAAUGAAAAUAAAUUCAAGAUUAACCGUCGAAGAGCUUUAAGAGAUUUUGAGACUGAGGUAAUGAGCCAUAAAGUAUUUUAGAGAAGUCAUUCUCAAAGUGUGGCUCCUGGUCCAGCAGCAUCAACAUCACCAGGCAACUUGUUAGAAUGCAAAUUUCUAGGCACCACCCAAGACCUACUGAAGUAGAAACUCUAAAGGUGGGGCACAGCCAUCUGUGUUCUAACAAGCCUUCCAGGGAAAGGAUACAGACACAAAUCACCCAGGGGAAGAGAUGCAUGGGGCAGAAUCCAAGAAGGUUCCAAACCAGGAGCUUUCAGUUACCCUUCCUCACGGAGUCAUGGACAGCGCUGCUUUUCUGGCAAUGACAUGUGACAAUACACAUCUUCUGGAGUGGGUAGAAGUGACGGGAAGGUGAAUGUAAAGACACAAAGAGGUCCCUAAAUGAUCUGUUCAGCUCCUUUUCAACUACCAUUAAGAACUGCUGUUAGAAGUUUACAAUGUAAAGGAAGAGACAGAGAAGAUAAUCACAACCUUCCAGGUGAAAUACUAAUAGAG
This 718-nucleotide long non-coding RNA is filed under the name Homo sapiens (human). RNAcentral describes it as "long intergenic non-protein coding RNA 2945". Lineage: Eukaryota; Metazoa; Chordata; Mammalia; Primates; Hominidae. The record is from RNAcentral.